This 253-nucleotide ribosomal RNA is filed under the name uncultured bacterium. RNAcentral describes it as "partial 16S ribosomal RNA". It matches the Rfam family "Bacterial small subunit ribosomal RNA", at positions 524 to 776 of the family's 1533-position model. The record is from RNAcentral.
UACGUAGGGUGCAAGCGUUAAUCGGAAUUACUGGGCGUAAAGCGUGCGCAGGCGGCUUUGCAAGACAGAUGUGAAAUCCCCGGGCUUAACCUGGGAACUGCAUUUGUGACUGCAUGGCUGGAGUGCGGCAGAGGGGGAUGGAAUUCCGCGUGUAGCAGUGAAAUGCGUAGAUAUGCGGAGGAACACCGAUGGCGAAGGCAGCCCCCUGGGCUGACACUGACGCUCAGGCACGAAAGCGUGGGGAGCAAACAGG